GGAGAGGUGACCGAGUGGUCGAAGGUGCACGCCUGGAGAGCGUGUGUGCGCUCCGCGUACCGUGGGUUCGAAUCCCACCCUCUCCGCCA
RNAcentral lists this transfer RNA (89 nucleotides) under Candidatus Sumerlaeota bacterium. RNAcentral's name for it is "tRNA-Ser". It matches the Rfam family "tRNA". From Rfam's summary of the family: Transfer RNA (tRNA) molecules are approximately 80 nucleotides in length. Their secondary structure includes four short double-helical elements and three loops (D, anti-codon, and T loops). Further hydrogen bonds mediate the characteristic L-shaped molecular structure. tRNAs have two regions of fundamental functional importance: the anti-codon, which is responsible for specific mRNA codon recognition, and the 3' end, to which the tRNAs corresponding amino acid is attached (by aminoacyl-tRNA synthetases). tRNAs cope with the degeneracy of the genetic code in two manners: having more than one tRNA (with a specific anti-codon) for a particular amino acid; and 'wobble' base-pairing, i.e. permitting non-standard base-pairing at the 3rd anti-codon position. The record is from RNAcentral. Lineage: Bacteria; Candidatus Sumerlaeota.